This 571-nucleotide ribosomal RNA is filed under the name Colletotrichum sp. BDS-2011. RNAcentral describes it as "eukaryotic LSU rRNA". The stretch from base 214 to 367 matches the Rfam family "5.8S ribosomal RNA". Lineage: Eukaryota; Fungi; Ascomycota; Sordariomycetes; Glomerellales; Glomerellaceae. The record is from RNAcentral.
GUAACAAGGUCUCCGUUGGUGAACCAGCGGAGGGAUCAUUACUGAGUUUACGCUCUAUAACCCUUUGUGAACAUACCUAUAACUGUUGCUUCGGCGGGUAGGGUCUCCGUGACCCUCCCGGCCUCCCGCCCCCGGGCGGGUCGGCGCCCGCCGGAGGAUAACCAAACUCUGAUUUAACGACGUUUCUUCUGAGUGGUACAAGCAAAUAAUCAAAACUUUUAACAACGGAUCUCUUGGUUCUGGCAUCGAUGAAGAACGCAGCGAAAUGCGAUAAGUAAUGUGAAUUGCAGAAUUCAGUGAAUCAUCGAAUCUUUGAACGCACAUUGCGCCCGCCAGCAUUCUGGCGGGCAUGCCUGUUCGAGCGUCAUUUCAACCCUCAAGCUCUGCUUGGUGUUGGGGCCCUACAGCUGAUGUAGGCCCUCAAAGGUAGUGGCGGACCCUCCCGGAGCCUCCUUUGCGUAGUAACUUUACGUCUCGCACUGGGAUCCGGAGGGACUCUUGCCGUAAAACCCCCAAUUUUCCAAAGGUUGACCUCGGAUCAGGUAGGAAUACCCGCUGAACUUAAGCAUAU